GUCUACACCGCCCUCCGCCCCCCGGGGGGGGAGCAGAAGGGCACAGGGUCGGGGGUCGGAGACUGAGGGAUCAGACGGGGACCAGGGACCUGGGUCUGAGACUGAGGGAUCAGAGAUGGGGCCCCAGGUGAGGACCCAGACGAGGAACAGAGGCUGGGUCCAGAGGCCAGCGCUCCGAGGUCUGACCCUGGUGUCUCCAAGGCACCGAGUCCCUGGGUCUUGAGAGCGGCACGAAGUCCCUGUCCCCGGCAGAGCGGACCCCAGGGCUCUGGAUCCUCGGAGCCUGAGGUGGGCGCCAGGCCCUGCCGAGCACCCCUGACCUUAGGAAAGACGUGGCGAUGGGGAUUUGCCCCGAGCAGCGGCAGUCUGAAGGGUAAGAGGAUCUGGGCACACACGAAGAGCGCGGAUCAUAGCGCGGUCGCGUGUGGACUCAGCCUGUGGCACAGGACAGGGCUGGCCAGGAACCUCGUCCGGGGAUACGGACAGAGAUCCAGCUCCGCCUCUGAGGCACACUGCCCCAGCGCGGUCCAGAAAUCCUGAGAAGAAGGCGAUCAAGGGCACCGUUUCAGAACGUCUACCUAGCAGUUUCAACAAUAAGAGCCAGAGGAGGAGAGAGAGAACCUGAAAGGCAGGGAGAACAGGGUUUAAAGAACUGCCACUUUCCCUUCUUCGUUUUCACCAGUCAUGGGAGCCUCUGGUUCUUCCGAGAAAUCAGUUGCUGAUAAGCUUAAUGAUGACCACUGGAGACAUUCGGAAAUGAAGUAUUCUAAAAGUGUAUUGUAACUGUUGGAACUGUGAAAUACCCUGGUUACUAUCAAAAGCAUUGUAAGACUCUUCAAAAAACUAAAAACACAACCACCAAAUAACCCACAAAUGUCACAUUUGAGUAUACAUUCAAUAGGAGUAAAAACAGCCUUUCAAAAGAUAUGUGCAGAUACGUGUUCAUUACAACUUUGUCCACAACAGCCAGGAACGAACCUAACCUAAAUAUCUACCAACGGAUCAGUGGAAAAUGAGGGAACAUUAUUCUACCUUAAAGAAU
Fukomys damarensis (Damara mole-rat) is the source of this 1042-nucleotide long non-coding RNA. RefSeq lists it as uncharacterized. The transcript is spliced from 3 exons. Lineage: Eukaryota; Metazoa; Chordata; Mammalia; Rodentia; Bathyergidae. The record is from RefSeq and is a predicted model, not a curated record.